AUCUCUGAAACCCAUGGCACCUGGCUGCCCAGCUGGUGCCUCCUAGGUCCUCGGAGCACGUGGAUUAAGAGGAGGGCGUGGCCAGUAUGGAGAGAGAUCAGAAAUCACCAGAACCCUAGGGCCCUGCAGGAUGGUCUGCUUUGAUUGUAAGUGCCAUAAAGUCGAGGGCCAGGUCUGGCUUACUGAUCCGUCAUUCCUCAAUGCCUGGCAUGAUGCCCUGUGGGCAAGCAGCCCAGCCCUGGAAUCAUCCCAGCCUGGUGCCAGAUGGUGAAUGAAGAAGCCUCUAGAAGACUUCAGUCACCUGAGUUUUCCCAAAUGGAGCAAAGACAAGGCAUCCCACCACGCCCUUCCUAAAUUUCUGACCUACAAAUUCAUGAAUGUUAGAAAAAUGAUUGUUUUAUUUUUAAAAAAUCACAAAGUAAAGUAAAACUCUUCUCUG
Bubalus bubalis (water buffalo) is the source of this 439-nucleotide long non-coding RNA. RefSeq lists it as uncharacterized. Lineage: Eukaryota; Metazoa; Chordata; Mammalia; Artiodactyla; Bovidae. The record is from RefSeq and is a predicted model, not a curated record. The transcript is spliced from 3 exons.